Molecule: ribosomal RNA, 415 nt
Filed under: uncultured marine bacterium
Lineage: Bacteria
Description: bacterial SSU rRNA
Rfam family: Bacterial small subunit ribosomal RNA
Source: RNAcentral
AACGCGAAGAACCUUACCAACCCUUGACAUCCUUGGACCGCUAGAGAGAUCUAGUUUUCUCGUAAGAGACCAAGUGACAGGUGCUGCAUGGCUGUCGUCAGCUCGUGUCGUGAGAUGUUCGGUUAAGUCCGGCAACGAGCGCAACCCACAUCUUUAGUUGCCAGCAGUUCGGCUGGGCACUCUAGAGAAACUGCCCGUGAUAAGCGGGAGGAAGGUGUGGAUGACGUCAAGUCCUCAUGGCCCUUACGGGUUGGGCUACACACGUGCUACAAUGGCAUCUACAGUGAGUUAAUCUCCAAAAGAUGUCUCAGUUCGGAUUGGGGUCUGCAACUCGACCCCAUGAAGUUGGAAUCGCUAGUAAUCGCGUAACAGCAUGACGCGGUGAAUACGUUCCCGGGUCUUGUACACACCGAAU